This 325-nucleotide ribosomal RNA is filed under the name Dermacentor marginatus. RNAcentral describes it as "partial 12S ribosomal RNA". Lineage: Eukaryota; Metazoa; Arthropoda; Arachnida; Ixodida; Ixodidae. The record is from RNAcentral.
AGUAUAUAAAUAUUAUGAAAGCAAAAAAUUAUGGCGGUAUCUUAAGCUUUUCAGAGGAAUUUGCUCUAUAAUGGAUAAAACACCUUAAUCUUACUUUAAUUGGUGUAAAAACAGUUUGUAUACCACUAUUAAAAUAAUAAUAUACAAUUAUUAUUAAAGUAUAUUAUUUAUGUAUUUAAAUAAAGUUAAGUCAAGGUGCAGCAAAAAUUAAAGUAUGAAGUGAAUUACACUGCUUUUUAGAUAAGAAAAUGAAAAUAAGUUUAGGAUUUGAAAGUAAAAUUAAAAUAGGAAGUUAAUUUGAAUUAAGCUCUAGGAUAUGUACAUA